RNAcentral lists this ribosomal RNA (502 nucleotides) under uncultured bacterium. Its description in RNAcentral is "partial 16S ribosomal RNA". It matches the Rfam family "Bacterial small subunit ribosomal RNA", at positions 30 to 523 of the family's 1533-position model. The record is from RNAcentral.
AUUGAACGCUGGCGGAAUGCUUUGCACAUGCAAGUCGAACGGCAGCAUAGGUGCUUGCACCUGAUGGCGAGUGGCGAACGGGUGAGUAAUACAUCGGAACGUGCCCAGUCGUGGGGGAUAACGUAGCGAAAGUUACGCUAAUACCGCAUACGAUCUAAGGAUGAAAGCGGGGGACCGUAAGGCCUCGCGCGAUUGGAGCGGCCGAUGUCAGAUUAGGUAGUUGGUGAGGUAAAGGCUCGCCAAGCCGACGAGCUGUAGCUGGUCUGAGAGGACGACCAGCCACACUGGGACUGAGACACGGCCCAGACUCCUACGGGAGGCAGCAGUGGGGAAUUUUGGACAAUGGACGCAAGUCUGAUCCAGCCAUUCCGCGUGCAGGACGAAGGCCUUCGGGUUGUAAACUGCUUUUGUACGGAACGAAAAAGCUCUUACUAAUACUAGGAGUCCAUGACGGUACCGUAAGAAUAAGCACCGGCUAACUACGUGCCAGCAGCCGCCGUAA